CCUAAUAAUGCAAGUCGAACGAGCUUCCGUUGAAUGACGUGCUUGCUCGAUUUUAACAAUGAAGCGAGUGGCGAACUGGUGAGUAACACGUGGGAAAUCUGCCCAGAAGCAGGGGAUAACACUUGGAAACAGGUGCUAAUACCGUAUAACAACAAAAUCCGCAUGGAUUUUGUUUGAAAGGUGGCUUCGGCUAUCACUUCUGGAUGAUCCCGCGGCGUAUUAGUUAGUUGGUGAGGUAAAGGCCCACCAAGACGAUGAUACGUAGCCGACCUGAGAGGGUAAUCGGCCACAUUGGGACUGAGACACGGCCCAAACUCCUACGGGAGGCAGCAGUAGGGAAUCUUCCACAAUGGACGAAAGUCUGAUGGAGCAAUGCCGCGUGAGUGAAGAAGGGUUUCGGCUCGUAAAACUCUGUUGUUAAAGAAGAACACCUUUGAGAGUAACUGUUCAAGGGUUGACGGUAUUUAACCAGAAAGCCACGGCUAACUACGUGCCAGCAGCCGCGGUAAUACGUAGGUGGCAAGCGUUGUCCGGAUUUAUUGGGCGUAAAGCGAGCGCAGGCGGUUUUUUAAGUCUGAUGUGAAAGCCUUCGGCUUAACCGGAGAAGUGCAUCGGAAACUGGGAGACUUGAGUGCAGAAGAGGACAGUGGAACUCCAUGUGUAGCGGUGGAAUGCGUAGAUAUAUGGAAGACACCAGUGGCGAAGGCGGCUGUCUAGUCUGUAACUGACGCUGAGGCUCGAAAGCAUGGG
RNAcentral lists this ribosomal RNA (750 nucleotides) under Levilactobacillus brevis. Its description in RNAcentral is "bacterial SSU rRNA". It matches the Rfam family "Bacterial small subunit ribosomal RNA", at positions 47 to 765 of the family's 1533-position model. The record is from RNAcentral. Lineage: Bacteria; Bacillati; Bacillota; Bacilli; Lactobacillales; Lactobacillaceae.